This 406-nucleotide ribosomal RNA is filed under the name uncultured bacterium. RNAcentral describes it as "partial 16S ribosomal RNA". It matches the Rfam family "Bacterial small subunit ribosomal RNA", at positions 28 to 526 of the family's 1533-position model. The record is from RNAcentral.
GACGAACGCUGGCGGCGUGCUUAACACAUGCAAGUCGAACGAGUGGCGAACGGGUGAGUAAUCGUUGGUAACCUGCCCUCCUUUUUGGGAUAAGCCUUGGAAACGGGGUCUAAUACCGCAUACUAUCAGAUGAGCCUAGGUCGGAUUAGCUAGUUGGUGGGGUAAAGGCCUACCAAGGCGACGAUCCGUAACUGGUCUGAGAGGAUGAUCAGUCACACUGGAACUGAGACACGGUCCAGACUCCUACGGGAGGCAGCAGUGGGGAAUAUUGCACAAUGGGCGCAAGCCUGAUGCAGCCAUGCCGCGUGUAUGAAGAAGGCCUUAGGGUUGUAAAGUACUUUCAGCGGGGAGGCGUUACCCGCAGAAGAAGCACCGGCUAACUCCGUGCCAGCAGCCGCGGUAAUUC